Molecule: ribosomal RNA, 1659 nt
Filed under: Triticum aestivum (bread wheat)
Lineage: Eukaryota; Viridiplantae; Streptophyta; Magnoliopsida; Poales; Poaceae
Description: partial small subunit ribosomal RNA
Source: RNAcentral
AUGUCCAUUGAGCAGCAAGUAGCAUUGUUUUUGCACACUGUUGGUCACAACGUUCGGAAUAGAGUAAUUGGUGGGAAUUUCGGUAGAUCUGGUGAAGUUGUUAGCCGCUAUUUUAAAAAACUACUCCAUGCAAUUGGUGAGCUUCGAGAUGAACUUAUUAGGAAGCCUUCAUUGGGGACCCAAAAGAAAAUAGAAGGAAACCAUCGGUGGGAUCCAUACUUUAAGGAUUGUAUUAGAGCUAUUGAUGGUACACAUGUACGUGCCUCUGUUACACCUGAUAUGGAGGCUGCCUUUCGUGGUAGAAAGAAAUAUACUACUCAAAAUGUGAUGGCGGCUGUUGAUUUUGAUCUUCGAUUCACAUAUGUGUUGGCCGGUUGGGAGGGUACAGCACAUGAUGCUGUAGUUUUACACGAUGCUUUAGGACGUGAAAAUGGUCUACGUGUCCCACAAGGAAAAUUUUAUCUAGUUGAUGCCGGAUAUGGAGCCAAACCAGGCUUCUUGCCUCCUUUUCGUGGCGUGAGGUACCAUUUAAAUGAGUGGGGAAACAAUCCUGUGCAAAAUGAAAAGGAGCUGUUCAACCUUAGGCAUUCUUCUCUUCGCACAACUGUAGAACGGGCAUUUGGGUCAUUGAAGAGAAGAUUCAAAAUCCUUGAUGAUGCCACACCAUUCUUUCUUUAUCCUACUCAAGUAGACAUUGUUGUGGCUUGUUGCAUUAUUCAGAAUUGGGUUUUAAAUGAUGGCAUUGAUGAAUAUAUCAUACCCGAGGAUGAAUGGGUGGCCAAUAUCACUCAUGCUUCAUCAUCAACUGGCCAAGCACAAGAACAUGCAUACAUGGCUAAUUUUAGGCAAGGACUUACUGAUCAAAUGCAAAUCUCAUGGACACCUACCAUGUCAUCGUACAUGCUAGCCCAUCUAUGUGGUUUGGUGACUGGUGGCCAUAGACCAGGUACCUCCUUCAAGAAUGUCCACUGGAAUGGUUGUGCCGCUGCUAUGAAUGAACAUUUUCAGCGCACCAAUUUGAUUGGAACUCACAUCACAAAUCACACAAGGACGUGGAAAAGGAAGUAUAAGCAGAUAGUGCACCUCAAAUCAUUGAGUGGUGCACUUUGGGAUGAAGAUAACUUUCUUGAUCAUGAGCAUUACACAAACCAUAUUAAGGACCACAAAGAAGAUGAACCCUUCCUGAACAAGCCUAUUAAACAUUAUGAGGAGAUGCUGGUUAUUGUUGGAGCAGGCAUGGCUACGGGGCAAUAUGCAAAAGGCUCAAGUGACCCUUUAGUGACGGAGGUGAUUGAUCUUGAAGAACAGAAAACCAACAAAGCCGCUGCCUCGAAUGAAGAGGUUGCCCAAUCACACACUUGUGAUGAGUCAGCCGCUCCCAAGUUGAAGAAAGCCAAAACUAAUCCUUCUGCAGAAGAUAGGAUGGUUGCAACCAUAAUGGCUUCAAGUGAAAGGAUUGCUGUUGCCAUUGAGAAACUUGCUAGCGACGUCAACCCCGCCAUUGAUGGUCUUUGGGAUGAGAUGAAAGAACUCCCUGGCUUUGAUGUGGAUUCCCUUGCUCAUUACUAUGCCUAUUUGGUUGACAAUCCUCGUGUUGCAAUGGCAUUCAAGGUCCUGGGGGGUGUUCAAAGAAAGGUUUGGGUCUCUAGGUAUGUGUAG